CUGCGAAGUUGAUACGAUGGAUCUGAAGUCAAACAAAUAGGAUAAUUACAUAAUCUUUAUUGACAAGCAUUUUAGAAAGUCCCAUUGAGUAGAUGUUAGAUGAGAAGACUGUGCCUGCAGCUACCGCUCAAGCUAGCACUUAGACAUACUCCUACAAGAACCAUCUCCUGCUCAGGUCGCUCCGUUUGCUGGCUCAUUAAUGAAGCUCCCCAAGAGGUCGUACACCUGCUGAAACAGCCUCACAUCCUGAAAACAAAACAAUCAUAAAAUUCCUUCAUUUUAUCAUAAACUCAAAGAUUCAGGUUUGUAAUUCAGAGGACCUCUGUUUGGCUUGUAUGACGUUGAAACUUUUCAACUAAACCCUAGGAAUCACUGCCUAAAGGUGACCCACCGUGCAAAAACAGGUUGAAUCAAUGUUGUUUCCAUGUCACAUCAAUAGAAAAUGUAAAUGUGAUGAUGUUCAAUCAAUGUGGAAAACUGAUUGGAUUUGAAAGAAGUCAUCAACGUAAGGAAAUUUCGUCUUUUCUGUAACGGCUGUCGUACGUAAUGGACCAAGGCGCAGCGGGUUGAGUGCUCCUCUUAACUUUAUUUAGAACACUUAACGAACAGUAUUGCAGGCUACACACAGCUAUGCAACAACAACUUCCCACAAACCACAGGUGAAAAAAGGGCUACCUAAGUAUGACUCCCAAUCAGAAACAACGAUGUACAGCUGUUCCUGAUUGAGAGCCAUACCAGGCCAACAAAGAAAUACACAACAUAGAAAACCAUAGAAAUACAAAACAAGAACAUUACCCAAACACCCCGGAACACAUAAAACAAACACCCCUCUUACAUAAAUACAUAUCCCAAUAAACCCUGAACCACAUAAAACAAAUACCCCCUGCCACGUCCUGACCAAACUACAAUAACCAAUAACCCCUUAUACUGGUCAGGACGUGACAUUUUCACCCAACUUUUAACCUAAAUCUAAUUACGUAAAUGUUUGGGUGGGAUUUCACAUUGAAUUCACAUUAGUUGACAACUCAACCAAAUGUAAAUCAAAACCAGACAUUGAAAUGACACCUGUGCCCAGUGGGAACUAUAUAUCUGGUCUGAUGAACUAUAAUUAUGAAAUUGGUUAGCUGCUGGUUGAGCUCGGACAGUCCGCUCAACACCAUCCUCCCAGCGUGUGUGAGGUAAUUGAGGGAGGUACUGUCUGCGGAUGUCAUAGUCUGUGAAAACAAGUCAGUACAUUUACAAAUAAUCCAGAAAUGUUCAUCAAGUGAAAUACAAAAGGUGCUAAAUUCACACUUUCUCACCUCCACGUCAGAUACCGGCUAGCCUCAGAGAGAAGUUGGUUUUCCCUUGGUUUGCAAAGUAACCCCUGUAAAUAGAAAUGUUUAAAAAGAAAUGUUCAACCUAAGAAGCUAAAACAUACAUCAGUGCCAUGAAAUUAAGAAAUACUUUGAUGUUAGCCUAUGUUAUAACUGCAGGAUUCAGAAAGACCAUACCAAUGUAUGAUCUAAUUUGAUCACUCUUUUGUUGCUGAGAAUUGUUCUGCAUGGAAGGAAAUGCAAACUUGUAGUAUAUUGGAGUUUUAAAAAGGCUUUUCAAGUUUGUAAUUUCCACUUUGAAAUGUCAGACACGAUUUGCCCUAACGAAAAAUGUAUUCUGUUGCUGCAGGAUUUUUUUCCUGCUGUAGCAAACUGGCUCAAAUUAAGAUACUACAUCUGUAUAACUACGAUAUUGGGCUGAUUAUUUCAAAACAAAUGUUUUUACUAUAAAUGAACACAUGAAAGUGAACUCACCGCCACUGCAACAUUAUUUUGCUCCUCCACAAACUCCCCCUCAACU
RNAcentral lists this long non-coding RNA (1836 nucleotides) under Salmo salar (Atlantic salmon). RNAcentral describes it as "lncRNA (ENSSSAG00000095283.1)". The record is from RNAcentral. Lineage: Eukaryota; Metazoa; Chordata; Actinopteri; Salmoniformes; Salmonidae.